AACGAACGCUGGCGGCAUGCCUAACACAUGCAAGUCGAACGAGACCUUCGGGUCUAGUGGCGCACGGGUGCGUAACGCGUGGGAACCUGCCCUUAGGUUCGGAAUAACUCCCCGAAAGGGGUGCUAAUACCGGAUAAUGUCUUCGGACCAAAGAUUUAUCGCCUUUGGAUGGGCCCGCGUUGGAUUAGCUAGUUGGUAGGGUAAAAGCCUACCAAGGCGACGAUCCAUAGCUGGUCAGAGAGGAUGAUCAGCCACACUGGGACUGAGACACGGCCCAGACUCCUACGGGAGGCAGCAGUGGGGAAUAUUGGACAAUGGGCGAAAGCCUGAUCCAGCAAUGCCGCGUGAGUGAUGAAGGCCUUAGGGUUGGAAAGCUCUUUUACCCGGGAUGAUAAUGACAGUACCGGGAGAAUAAGCUCCGGCUAACUCCGUG
Molecule: ribosomal RNA, 433 nt
Filed under: uncultured bacterium
Lineage: Bacteria
Description: partial 16S ribosomal RNA
Rfam family: Bacterial small subunit ribosomal RNA
Source: RNAcentral